RNAcentral lists this unclassified non-coding RNA (406 nucleotides) under uncultured fungus. RNAcentral describes it as "partial contains small subunit ribosomal RNA, internal transcribed spacer 1, and 5.8S ribosomal RNA". The stretch from base 1 to 73 matches the Rfam family "Eukaryotic small subunit ribosomal RNA", at positions 1759 to 1831 of the family's 1831-position model. Lineage: Eukaryota; Fungi. The record is from RNAcentral.
UCAAACUUGGUCAUUUAGAGGAAGUAAAAGUCGUAACAAGGUUUCCGUAGGUGAACCUGCGGAAGGAUCAUUACCGAGUUUUGAAGGUGGGGGGUCCUGCUGCUGGCGCGGGAACGCGCACGUGCACGGGCUCUGCACUCGAUCCACUCAACCCCUGUGCACCUUUGCAGAGCGAGUAGGACGUCCCUUUCGAGCGACGCGAUCAGUAGUAGCGAGUAGAGCGAGCGUGCGGAGUCACCGGUAGCUCGAAAGCGAGGCGGUCUUUGGCUCGGAGGGGGAGGUUCGAAAGCUUUGAUUUCAAUCAACCUUUUGCAUGUCUUGUGAACGCGUCGCCCCCCUCGUGGGCGAAAGAAAUACAACUUUCAACAACGGAUCUCUUGGCUCUCGCAUCGAUGAAGAACGCAGC